UGAAAUCAACUGAGAUCACCCGCUGAAC
This 28-nucleotide ribosomal RNA is filed under the name Lichtheimia ramosa. RNAcentral's name for it is "partial 28S ribosomal RNA". Lineage: Eukaryota; Fungi; Mucoromycota; Mucoromycetes; Mucorales; Lichtheimiaceae. The record is from RNAcentral.